Molecule: ribosomal RNA, 549 nt
Filed under: uncultured bacterium
Lineage: Bacteria
Description: partial 16S ribosomal RNA
Rfam family: Bacterial small subunit ribosomal RNA
Source: RNAcentral
UGGGGAAUUUUGGACAAUGGGCGAAAGCCUGAUCCAGCAAUGCCGCGUGUGUGAAGAAGGCCUUCGGGUUGUAAAGCACUUUUGUCCGGAAAGAAAUCCUUGGCUCUAAUACAGUCGGGGGAUGACGGUACCGGAAGAAUAAGCACCGGCUAACUACGUGCCAGCAGCCGCGGUAAUACGUAGGGUGCAAGCGUUAAUCGGAAUUACUGGGCGUAAAGCGUGCGCAGGCGGUUUGCUAAGACCGAUGUGAAAUCCCCGGGCUCAACCUGGGAACUGCAUUGGUGACUGGCAGGCUAGAGUAUGGCAGAGGGGGGUAGAAUUCCACGUGUAGCAGUGAAAUGCGUAGAGAUGUGGAGGAAUACCGAUGGCGAAGGCAGCCCCCUGGGCCAAUACUGACGCUCAUGCACGAAAGCGUGGGGAGCAAACAGGAUUAGAUACCCUGGUAGUCCACGCCCUAAAACGAUGUCAACUAGUUGUUGGGGAUUCAUUUCCUUAGUAACGUAGCUAACGCGUGAAGUUGACCGCCUGGGGGAGUACGGUCGCAAGAUU